UAAGGGAAGAGGUUUUUACUUUCUGUUUAUACACUUCUGCAAUGUUGUAAUUUUUUACACAAAGUAUGAAUUACUUUUAUGAUAAAAAAUUUUGUUCGUAGACAAAAUUCCUCUCCUUCAGCAUUCAGCUUCCUUAGUUAAAACACAAUCUCCAACGAAAGCAUGGAUAUGAUCCCCGUUUCCAGAAAAUCCUAGAAAGAAAUGCAGCCCUUGUUCAGUCCAACUCCAUCAUUUGAUAGAUUAGGAAAAUAGGUCCCAGAGAGUGACUUGUCCACUGUCAGGAUAUGGUGGCUGUGGCGCGUCACCUGACUCCAGCCUACUUAAUGCAUUUCAGCCUCUUCGGCCUUGAGGGCUCCUGCUGCUCACCUGAAACCAUUCCCAAGGAACCCACAAAAGCAGGCUCCCCGGGAGGAUUCCUGAGAACACCUACACACAAGCCUCAGAGAUCUGCCAAGACAUUCUCUUUCCGAUAGAACUAUUUAAUAUUUUUCUAUCAAAUAGUUGCCAAAUGACCUGCGCCAGUCAAAACUCAAUCUGACUUGUGACUAAAAGUAAUCUGAUGAAUCCAAAAGGUAUAUACAAAUCUAUCUAUCUAAGGCAUUUUCUCUUCAAAGUAGAAGACCUGGAAGACUAUACAGUUAUUCCCAAAAUGCUUCAACAUUUCUGGAACUCCUCUUUUAGAGUGGCCAUGAGUCCCCAGCACAUUCUUUAAAACAUCCUUGAAUUGGCAAAUACCCCUCUUUCCAGGAUACAUUUGAUUUUUUAAAAGAACUGCCAAUUAUUCAGAGUCUGGCGAAUAUGGUAGAUGAUUAACCAGGUUAAUAUUUCUGGUUAAUAAGGUGAAAUUAUAAUAAAACAAUGAUAAUUAUUUUAGUGUGGCUCAUAAAUUGGUCUUGAUAGUGGUAUAUUAAGGUUAAGUAAAGGCAGCAUGGUCACCGUAGAGAUUAAAGCCCAUUUUAGUUGGUUUAUGAUGUGAAUGAAUUCAGGUAGCACUGGGAGUCAUUAUAUGUUUAAAUAGUAUUAAAUGUUUCUUUUUAUGAAAAUCUUAAUUAUGACAUUCUCUGAAAUCUGGUUUCACAGUAUUAAAAUAAGGCUUUAAGGAAAAACAUUAAAUGGUAAUGAAAGCUUUAUUCUUUCAGUAUAUAUUCUCGUGGGCUUUUGGUCAAGAUAAGUAAUGACCAGAUGAAUGAGCUGGCAACCUUCUGCCCUCUGAAGUCUACUAGUAAUUGGAAGCUAAGUAAAACGUUGUCACAUGUUUAAAUACAUUUGAUAAUAUUCCACCAGCUUCUCCCUGUAUUCUGCAUGCUGGGCAAUGAAAUACCACAGCAUUUUAACAUAGAUGAAGAGUGAUUUUUUUUAAAGAAAGAAUUUCCAAAAGUCAUUCUUGGCUGGGCAUGGUAGUUCAUGCCUGUAAUCCCAGCACACUGGGAGGGCCAAGGCGGGAGGAUCGCUUGAGCCUAGGAGUUGAAGACCAGCCUAGGCAACACAGGGAGACCCCAUAUCCACAAAAAA
RNAcentral lists this long non-coding RNA (1512 nucleotides) under Macaca fascicularis (crab-eating macaque). RNAcentral's name for it is "lncRNA (ENSMFAG00000060038.1)". The record is from RNAcentral. Lineage: Eukaryota; Metazoa; Chordata; Mammalia; Primates; Cercopithecidae.